This is a long non-coding RNA of Sinocyclocheilus rhinocerous, 220 nucleotides long. RefSeq lists it as uncharacterized. The record is from RefSeq and is a predicted model, not a curated record. The transcript is spliced from 3 exons. NCBI's taxonomy places the organism in Eukaryota, Metazoa, Chordata, Actinopteri, Cypriniformes, Cyprinidae.
UGCAGGGGAGAAACCUUCAGGUCAACAUGAAUUUAUUACUAAACCUGAUGCUGCAGUUUCUAACUGCUCUGUGCUGUGCUGCAGAUCCCACAGUGCUGAAUAUCAGACAGAAAAGAGGCACACGCACAUAUAGGGACGCUUGUGUGGACGCUAAUUCGGCUGCGGUCAGAGACACUGGGGCGACGUGGCUGCGAUGGAAGGGUCAGAAAGUUGAAUUCUG